UACGGAGGGGGCUAGCGUUGUUCGGAAUUACUGGGCGUAAAGGGCGCGCAGGCGGCUGCUCAAGUCAGGCGUGAAAGGCCUGGGCUCAACCCGGGAAUUGCGCUUGAGACUGGGCUGGCUUGAGUGCGGGAGAGGAUGGUGGAAUUCCCAGUGUAGAGGUGAAAUUCGUAGAUAUUGGGAAGAACACCAGUGGCGAAGGCGACUACCUGGCCUGUUCUUGACGCUGAGGCGCGAAAGCUAGGGGAGCAAACGGG
Molecule: ribosomal RNA, 254 nt
Filed under: uncultured bacterium
Lineage: Bacteria
Description: partial 16S ribosomal RNA
Rfam family: Bacterial small subunit ribosomal RNA
Source: RNAcentral